UACGUAGGGGGCGAGCGUUGUCCGGAUUUAUUGGGCGUAAAGAGCUCGUAGGCGGUUCGAUAAGUCGGACGUGAAAUCUCCACGCUCAACGUGGAGGGGCCGUUCGAUACUGUCGUGACUCGAGUCCGGUAGGGGAGUGUGGAAUUCCCGGUGUAGCGGUGAAAUGCGCAGAGAUCAGGAGGAACACCGGUGGCGAAGGCGGGUCUCUGGGCCGAUACUGACGCUGAGGAGCGAAAGCGUGGGGAGCGAACAGG
RNAcentral lists this ribosomal RNA (254 nucleotides) under uncultured bacterium. Its description in RNAcentral is "partial 16S ribosomal RNA". It matches the Rfam family "Bacterial small subunit ribosomal RNA", at positions 524 to 776 of the family's 1533-position model. The record is from RNAcentral.